This 480-nucleotide ribosomal RNA is filed under the name uncultured bacterium. Its description in RNAcentral is "bacterial SSU rRNA". It matches the Rfam family "Bacterial small subunit ribosomal RNA", at positions 32 to 521 of the family's 1533-position model. The record is from RNAcentral.
AAUCAACGCUGGCGGCGUGCCUCAGACAUGCAAGUCGAACGAUUAAAGCUCUCUUCGGAGAGUGUAUAGAGUGGCGCACGGGUGAGUAACACGUAAGUAAUCUACCCUCGAGUGGGGAAUAACAACCGGAAACGGUUGCUAAUACCGCAUAAUGCAGCGGCACCGCAAGGUGACAGUUGUUAAAGAUUUAUCGCUUGAGGAGGAGCUUGCGGCAGAUUAGCUAGUUGGUAGGGUAACGGCUUACCAAGGCUACGAUCUGUAACCGGUCUAAGAGGACGGUCGGGUCACACUGACACUGAAUAACGGGUCAGACUCCUACGGGAGGCAGCAGUCGGGAAUUUUGGGCAAUGGGCGAAAGCCUGACCCAGCAACGCCGCGUGAAGGAUGAAGUAUUUCGGUAUGUAAACUUCGAAAGAAUAGGAAGAAUUAAUGACGGUACUAUUUAUAAGGUCCGGCUAACUACGUGCCAGCAGCCGCGGU